This 71-nucleotide transfer RNA is filed under the name Daphnia pulex (common water flea). RNAcentral's name for it is "tRNA-Ser". It matches the Rfam family "tRNA". Rfam says of the family: Transfer RNA (tRNA) molecules are approximately 80 nucleotides in length. Their secondary structure includes four short double-helical elements and three loops (D, anti-codon, and T loops). Lineage: Eukaryota; Metazoa; Arthropoda; Branchiopoda; Diplostraca; Daphniidae. The record is from RNAcentral. RNAcentral also lists the same sequence under 1 other name.
GCAUCGAUGGUUCAGUGGUAGAAUGCUCGCCUGCUACGCGGGCGGCCCGGGUUCGAUUCCCGGUCGAUGCA